CUCGGGUCCCCUGCCACACUAUGGAAGCUUUGUUCUUUUGCUCUUUGCAAUAAAUCUUGCUACUGCUUACUCUUUGGGUCCACACUGCCUUCAUGAGCUGUAACACUCACCGGGAAGGUCUGCAACUUCACUCCUGAGCCAGCGAGACCACGAGCCCACUGGAAGGAACAAACUCCCGCACGCCGCCUUUAAGAACUGUAACACUCACAGAGAGGGCCCGCGGCUUCAUUCCCGAAGUCAGUGAGACCAAGAACCAACCAAUUCCGGGCACGUUUCUUUUUCUGCAUCCGCUGCUCUGUUAAGUGAUCACCACAUUCAUUGUUCUCGUUUCUAUUAUUUCUGAAAAAAAUCUUCAGGAUUCUGCUUGUGGGAGUGGAUGACAUUUUUACAGUGUUUACAGACACAAAAUGAACAAGAUGUCUGUGGCAACCCUCAGACCAUUGACGCCUUCUCUCCUAUGUAUCAAAUCACACAUUUGGACGUUGACUGAACCCUCACAUGUCAGAUGCUCAAUAUUGAGGUAUAGUAAAAGGGAGCAUGAACUUGAGAAAAUACGCUUUCAACACAAAGCUGUAAUAAUAUAAGGUCAAAUAAGAUUCUGCAUUGGAGAUAGAAAACUCUGAAGGAAGCUUUAUCUAUUCCAGAAUGUCAUAUAGCUGGUAUAAGAUUACCUAUCAUCCAUGGCCAAGAAUUAAGUAGUUGAUUGGCUCUCCAAUGAGUAACAAUUCUAUCUCUUCAUUUUUUAUAUAUGAAGUUUUCAUUUUGGUUGUUGAUACUUUUUGAGCUAUUUUAUUUCAUU
RNAcentral lists this long non-coding RNA (799 nucleotides) under Homo sapiens (human). Its description in RNAcentral is "non-protein coding LINC01608:1". The record is from RNAcentral. Lineage: Eukaryota; Metazoa; Chordata; Mammalia; Primates; Hominidae.